AGCCGAAACGCCCUAGAUAGGGCGUCGCGGAGAGAUGGCCUACUCCGCCCGAAGAUGGCAGGCCAAG
This 67-nucleotide non-coding RNA is filed under the name Paenibacillus macerans. The record is from RNAcentral. RNAcentral also lists the same sequence under 1 other name. Lineage: Bacteria; Bacillati; Bacillota; Bacilli; Caryophanales; Paenibacillaceae.